RNAcentral lists this ribosomal RNA (253 nucleotides) under uncultured Ferruginibacter sp. RNAcentral's name for it is "partial 16S ribosomal RNA". It matches the Rfam family "Bacterial small subunit ribosomal RNA", at positions 524 to 776 of the family's 1533-position model. The record is from RNAcentral. Lineage: Bacteria; Pseudomonadati; Bacteroidota; Chitinophagia; Chitinophagales; Chitinophagaceae.
UACAGAGGGUGCAAGCGUUAUCCGGAUUUACUGGGUUUAAAGGGUGCGUAGGUGGGUUGGUAAGUCAGUGGUGAAAUCUUCGAGCUUAACUCGGAAACUGCCAUUGAUACUAUCAAUCUUGAAUUAUCUGGAGGUAAGCGGAAUAUGUCAUGUAGCGGUGAAAUGCUUAGAUAUGACAUAGAACACCCAUUGCGAAGGCAGCUUACUACGGAUACAUUGACACUGAGGCACGAAAGCGUGGGGAUCAAACAGG